This is a non-coding RNA of Pelobates cultripes (western spadefoot toad), 217 nucleotides long. Lineage: Eukaryota; Metazoa; Chordata; Amphibia; Anura; Pelobatidae. The record is from the annotation of a GenBank genome assembly.
AUCACCUUUACAUGUACUUUUGACAUUCCCUCAAUUAAGACUUUAUGCUUAAAAUCAGUGUUGCACAUCAUAACAUAGCACAUAAAUUAGCAAGCCGGAGUAAUGCCAAACAUCCAUCAUACCGGGUUAAACAAUAUUCCCUUUUAACCCCUUUUUCUUUUUUUUUUUUUCUAAACCAUUUUAGUCUACAAAACCCAUAUGUAAAUUUACAUCACAG